CCUACGGGCGGCAGCAGUGGGGAAUAUUGCGCAAUGGGCGAAAGCCUGACGCAGCGAUGCCGCGUGAGGGAUGAAGGUCUUCGGAUCGUAAACUUCUAUCAGCAGGGAGGAAAAUGACGGUACCUGACUAAGAAGCCCCGGCUAACUACGUGCCAGCAGCCGCGGUAAUACGUAGGGGGCAAGCGUUAUCCGGAAUUACUGGGUGUAAAGGGAGCGUAGACGGUAUGGCAAGUCGGAUGUGAAAGCCCGGGGCUCAACCCCGGGACUGCAUUGGAAACUGCCGAGCUAGAGUGUCGGAGAGGCAGGUGGAAUUCCUGGUGUAGCGGUGAAAUGCGUAGAUAUUAGGAGGAACACCAGUGGCGAAGGCGGCUUGCUGGACGAUGACUGACGUUGAGGCUCGAAAGCGUGGGGAGCAAACAGGAUUAGAUACCCGUGUAGUC
RNAcentral lists this ribosomal RNA (440 nucleotides) under uncultured bacterium. Its description in RNAcentral is "partial 16S ribosomal RNA". It matches the Rfam family "Bacterial small subunit ribosomal RNA", at positions 338 to 795 of the family's 1533-position model. The record is from RNAcentral.